UGUUGCAUGGCCUGCACCACUUCAGUGAGGUCUCUGACCUGCUAAACCAGUAGGUUGAAUUGCUCUGCACCGACCGUCAUUGUCGGAAGAGGAGGGGGAGCCUAGGAAACCAGAGGUGAGGUCGGAGCCUGAGAUCUGGCCGCGGAUGCUGUGGAUUGCCUGGUGGAUGCUUUGCGGGGAGGCAUCGGGUGAAGAUCUAGUAGGAGAAGGAGAAGAGGAUGUCGGAGAAGAUGAUCGAAAUCAAUCCCGUUGAGCACUCCUUUUAGAACAAGGGUACUGCGAAGACACAGCCCCUUCCUCUAGCGCCAAUUCUAUUGGUGCAGAAUUUCAUCGAAGCCGGAGUUGUUGGAGUCGAGAAGACCGUGGCCGCCAUCGGGACCUGCAAGGGAAGUCUAAAUCGGAGUUGGGGGUACUC
RNAcentral lists this long non-coding RNA (415 nucleotides) under Elaeis guineensis (African oil palm). RNAcentral's name for it is "long non-coding RNA (EGUI_LNC014621)". The record is from RNAcentral. Lineage: Eukaryota; Viridiplantae; Streptophyta; Magnoliopsida; Arecales; Arecaceae.